AGACCCGAAACCCGGUGAUCUAGCCAUGGGCAGGUUGAAGGUUGGGUAACACUAACUGGAGGACCGAACCGACUAAUGUUGAAAAAUUAGCGGAUGACCUGUGGCUGGGGGUGAAAGGCCAAUCAAACCGGGAGAUAGCUGGUUCUCCCCGAAAGCUAUUUAGGUAGCGCCUCGUGAAUUCAUCUCCGGGGGUAGAGCACUGUUUCGGCUAGGGGGCCAUCCCGGCUUACCAACCCGAUGCAAACUGCGAAUACCGGAGAAUGUUAUCACGGGAGACACACGGCGGGUGCUAACGUCCGUCGUGAAGAGGGAAACAACCCAGACCGCCAGCUAAGGUCCCAAAGUCAUGGUUAAGUGGGAAACGAUGUGGGAAGGCCCAGACAGCCAGGAUGUUGGCUUAGAAGCAGCCAUCAUUUAAAGAAAGCGUAAUAGCUCACUGGUCGAGUCGGCCUGCGCGGAAGAUGUAACGGGGCUAAACCAUGCACCGAAGCUGCGGCAGCGACACUCAGGUGUUGUUGGGUAGGGGAGCGUUCUGUAAGCCUGCGAAGGUGGCCUGUGAGGGUUGCUGGAGGUAUCAGAAGUGCGAAUGCUGACAUAAGUAACGAUAAAGCGGGUGAAAAGCCCGCUCGCCGGAAGACCAAGGGUUCCUGUCCAACGUUAAUCGGGGCAGGGUGAGUCGACCCCUAAGGCGAGGCCGAAAGGCGUAGUCGAUGGGAAACGGGUUAAUAUUCCCGUACUUGGUGUUACUGCGAAGGGGGGACGGAGAAGGCUAUGUUGGCCGGGCGACGGUUGUCCCGGUUUAAGCGUGUAGGUGUGUGUUCCAGGUAAAUCCGGUUCACUUUAACACUGAGGCGUGACGACGAGGCACUACGGUGCUGAAGCAACAAAUGCCCUGCUUCCAGGAAAAGCCUCUAAGCAUCAGGUAACAUCAAAUCGUACCCCAAACCGACACAGGUGGUCAGGUAGAGAAUACCAAGGCGCUUGAGAGAACUCGGGUGAAGGAACUAGGCAAAAUGGUGCCGUAACUUCGGGAGAAGGCACGCUGACACGUAGGUGAAGUGAUUUACUCACGGAGCUGAAGUCAGUCGAAGAUACCAGCUGGCUGCAACUGUUUAUUAAAAACACAGCACUGUGCAAACACGAAAGUGGACGUAUACGGUGUGACGCCUGCCCGGUGCCGGAAGGUUAAUUGAUGGGGUCAGCGCAAGCGAAGCUCCUGAUCGAAGCCCCGGUAAACGGCGGCCGUAACUAUAACGGUCCUAAGGUAGCGAAAUUCCUUGUCGGGUAAGUUCCGACCUGCACGAAUGGCGUAAUGAUGGCCAGGCUGUCUCCACCCGAGACUCAGUGAAAUUGAACUCGCUGUGAAGAUGCAGUGUACCCGCGGCAAGACGGAAAGACCCCGUGAACCUUUACUAUAGCUUGACACUGAACAUUGAGCCUUGAUGUGUAGGAUAGGUGGGAGGCUUUGAAGUGUGGACGCCAGUCUGCAUGGAGCCGACCUUGAAAUACCACCCUUUAAUGUUUGAUGUUCUAACGUGGACCCGUGAUCCGGGUUGCGGACAGUGUCUGGUGGGUAGUUUGACUGGGGCGGUCUCCUCCUAAAGAGUAACGGAGGAGCACGAAGGUUGGCUAAUCCUGGUCGGACAUCAGGAGGUUAGUGCAAUGGCAUAAGCCAGCUUGACUGCGAGCGUGACGGCGCGAGCAGGUGCGAAAGCAGGUCAUAGUGAUCCGGUGGUUCUGAAUGGAAGGGCCAUCGCUCAACGGAUAAAAGGUACUCCGGGGAUAACAGGCUGAUACCGCCCAAGAGUUCAUAUCGACGGCGGUGUUUGGCACCUCGAUGUCGGCUCAUCACAUCCUGGGGCUGAAGUAGGUCCCAAGGGUAUGGCUGUUCGCCAUUUAAAGUGGUACGCGAGCUGGGUUUAGAACGUCGUGAGACAGUUCGGUCCCUAUCUGCCGUGGGCGCUGGAGAACUGAGGGGGGCUGCUCCUAGUACGAGAGGACCGGAGUGGACGCAUCACUGGUGUUCGGGUUGUCAUGCCAAUGGCACUGCCCGGUAGCUAAAUGCGGAAGAGAUAAGUGCUGAAAGCAUCUAAGCACGAAACUUGCCCCGAGAUGAGUUCUCCCUGAGACUUAGAGUCUCCUGAAGGAACGUUGAAGACGACGACGUUGAUAGGCCGGGUGUGUAAGCGCAGCGAUGCGUUGAGCUAACCGGUACUAAUGAACCGUGAGGCUUAACCUUA
Molecule: ribosomal RNA, 2240 nt
Filed under: Salmonella enterica
Lineage: Bacteria; Pseudomonadati; Pseudomonadota; Gammaproteobacteria; Enterobacterales; Enterobacteriaceae
Description: partial 23S ribosomal RNA
Rfam family: Bacterial large subunit ribosomal RNA
Source: RNAcentral